RNAcentral lists this ribosomal RNA (479 nucleotides) under uncultured bacterium. RNAcentral describes it as "bacterial SSU rRNA". It matches the Rfam family "Bacterial small subunit ribosomal RNA", at positions 15 to 518 of the family's 1533-position model. The record is from RNAcentral.
GAUCUUGGUCAGGACUAACGCUGGCGGUGCGCCGUAACACAUGCAAGUCGUACGGGCUCCUCGGGAGCUAGUGGCAGACGGGUGAGUAACGCGUAGGUAAUGUACCUCUUCGCUGGGGGAUACCUACCUGAAAAGGUGGCUAAAACCGAAUGAGCUUUUCAAGCGGCAUCGCUUGAUUUGCAAACCUCCGGGGCGAAGAGAUCAGCUUGCGUACUAUCAGCUAGUAGGUGAGGUAAUGGCUUACCUAGGCUUCGACGGUUAGCCGGUCUGAGAGGAUGAUCGGCCACAUUGGAACUGAAACACGGUCCAGACUCCUACGGGAGGCAGCAGUGAGGAAUCUUGCGCAAUGGGCGAAAGCCUGAACCGCAGCGACACCGCGUGAGGGAUGAAGGUCUUCGGAUUGUAAACCUUUGUCAGUGGGGACGAGAACGGACGGUACCCGCUGAGGAAGCAUCGGCUUACUACGUGCCAGCAGCCGC